Molecule: ribosomal RNA, 510 nt
Filed under: uncultured bacterium
Lineage: Bacteria
Description: partial 16S ribosomal RNA
Rfam family: Bacterial small subunit ribosomal RNA
Source: RNAcentral
GACGAACGCUGGCGGCGUGCUUAACACAUGCAAGUCGAACGAAGAGCGACGGAAGCUUGCUUCUAUCAAUCUUAGUGGCGAACGGGUGAGUAACGCGUAAUCAACCUGCCCUUCAGAGGGGGACAACAGUUGGAAACGACUGCUAAUACCGCAUACGAUCUAACCUCGGCAUCGAGGAUAGAUGAAAGGUGGCCUCUACAUGUAAGCUAUCACUGAAGGAGGGGAUUGCGUCUGAUUAGCUAGGUGGAGGGGUAACGGCCCACCAAGGCGAUGAUCAGUAGCCGGUCUGAGAGGAUGAACGGCCACAUUGGGACUGAGACACGGCCCAGACUCCUACGGGAGGCAGCAGUGGGGAAUCUUCCGCAAUGGACGAAAGUCUGACGGAGCAACGCCGCGUGAGUGAUGACGGCCUUCGGGUUGUAAAGCUCUGUUAAUCGGGACGAAAGGCCUUCUUGCGAAUAGUGAGAAGGAUUGACGGUACCGGAAGAGAAAGCCACGGCUAACUACGUG